CCUACGGGAGGCAGCAGUGAGGAAUAUUGGUCAAUGGGCGUAAGCCUGAACCAGCCAAGUCGCGUGAGGGAUGAAGGUUCUAUGGAUCGUAAACCUCUUUUAUACGGGAAUAAAGUGCGGGACGUGUCCCGUUUUGUAUGUACCUUAUGAAUAAGGAUCGGCUAACUCCGUGCCAGCAGCCGCGGUAAUCCGGAGGAUCCGAGCGUUAUCCGGAUUUAUUGGGUUUAAAGGGUGCGUAGGCGGCCUUUUAAGUCAACGGUGAAAGUCUGUGGCUCAACCAUAGAAUUGCCGUUGAAACUGGGAGGCUUGAGUAUGUUUGAGGCAGGCGGAAUGCGUGGUGUAGCGGUGAAAUGCUUAGAUAUCACGCAGAACCCCGAUUGCGAAGGCAGCUUGCCAAGCCAUGACUGACGCUGAUGCACGAAAGCGUGGGGAUCAAACAGGAUUAGAUACCCGUGUAGUC
Molecule: ribosomal RNA, 460 nt
Filed under: uncultured bacterium
Lineage: Bacteria
Description: partial 16S ribosomal RNA
Rfam family: Bacterial small subunit ribosomal RNA
Source: RNAcentral